CAGUCGCCGCGGGAAUACGGAGGGUGCAAGCGUUAAUCGGAAUUACUGGGCGUAAAGCGUGCGUAGGCGGUUCGUUAAGUCUGUUGUGAAAGCCCCGGGCUCAACCUGGGAAUGGCAAUGGAUACUGGCGAGCUAGAGUGUGUCAGAGGAUGGUGGAAUUCCCGGUGUAGCGGUGAAAUGCGUAGAGAUCGGGAGGAACAUCAGUGGCGAAGGCGGCUUACUGGCUCAUUCUAGACGCUGAGGUGCGAAAGCGUGGGGAGCAAACAAGAUUAGAUACCCCCGUAGUCCCUGUCUCUUAUAC
RNAcentral lists this ribosomal RNA (301 nucleotides) under uncultured bacterium. RNAcentral describes it as "partial 16S ribosomal RNA". It matches the Rfam family "Bacterial small subunit ribosomal RNA", at positions 509 to 807 of the family's 1533-position model. The record is from RNAcentral.